GAUUAGAGUUUGAUCCUGGCUCAGAUUGAACGCUGGCGGCAGGCCUAACACAUGCAAGUCGAGCGGUAACAUUUCAAAAGCUUGCUUUUGAAGAUGACGAGCGGCGGACGGGUGAGUAAUGCCUGGGAAUUUGCCCAUUCGAGGGGGAUAACAGUUGGAAACGACUGCUAAUACCGCAUACGCCCUACGGGGGAAAGGAGGGGACCUUCGGGCCUUCCGCGAAUGGAUAAGCCCAGGUGGGAUUAGCUAGUAGGUGAGGUAAUGGCUCACCUAGGCGACGAUCCCUAGCUGUUCUGAGAGGGUGAUCAGCCACACUGGGACUGAGACACGGCCCAGACUCCUACGGGAGGCAGCAGUGGGGAAUAUUGCACAAUGGGCGAAAGCCUGAUGCAGCCAUGCCGCGUGUGUGAAGAAGGCCUUCGGGUUGUAAAGCACUUUCAGCGAGGAGGAAAGGUUACUGGCUAAUAUCCAGUAGCUGUGACGU
Molecule: ribosomal RNA, 484 nt
Filed under: Shewanella sp. EF3C-B2
Lineage: Bacteria; Pseudomonadati; Pseudomonadota; Gammaproteobacteria; Alteromonadales; Shewanellaceae
Description: bacterial SSU rRNA
Rfam family: Bacterial small subunit ribosomal RNA
Source: RNAcentral